GAGCAUCCAGGACCGAAGUGCCUGCCGUGCGGCGCGCUGUAAAACUUUAAAUCCAUCUGUGCAGAUCUCCUACGUAUUCGAGAAAAAAUGUGCAGUAAAUAUAUUAGGACGCACAAAUUUUUUUUGGCAAAGUUCAUCAAAUUUGAAUUUUGUAUCUUGCGCAUCAGAGCAGCUACCCGAUGUUGUUCGCCAGUCCGUGGCGUCUCGCCGGUCUCCGCACAGUCCACGCCAACAUGCAUCCGCUCGACCGCUCAGCAGGAAACAAACAGGUUCUCCUAGCGAGUACCAAGGCCAGCCCCAAGCCCCCAACUAGAGCUGCCGGCUGCGGGUCCUGCGGCGAUGCUUCCGAAUCUUUGGACUGCUCGCCUAGUCGCCUGCCCGCCCAAUGGCAGCCAUAGCGAACCGGACCACGCGAGCUUUUGCACUUUAGGUCCCAUG
Molecule: long non-coding RNA, 438 nt
Filed under: Setaria italica (foxtail millet)
Lineage: Eukaryota; Viridiplantae; Streptophyta; Magnoliopsida; Poales; Poaceae
Description: long non-coding RNA (SITA_LNC001441)
Source: RNAcentral